AUUAAACGCUGGCGGCAGGCCUAACACAUGCAAGUCGAGCGAGAAAGCACUUCGGUGCGAGUACAGCGGCGGACGGGUGAGUAACGCGUAGGAAUCUACCCAGUAGUGGGGGACAACAGUUGGAAACAGCUGCUAAUACCGCAUACGCCCUACGGGGGAAAGCGGGGGACCUUCGGGCCUCGCGCUAUUGGAUGAGCCUGCGUCGGAUUAGCUAGUUGGUAGGGUAAAAGCCUACCAAGGCGACGAUCCGUAGCUGGUCUGAGAGGAUGAUCAGCCACACUGGGACUGAGACACGGCCCAGACUCCUACGGGAGGCAGCAGUGGGGAAUAUUGCGCAAUGGGGGCAACCCUGACGCAGCCAUGCCGCGUGUGUGAAGAAGGCCCUAGGGUUGUAAAGCACUUUCAAAAGCGAGGAAAAGCUUGUCCUUAAUACGGGCAAGCCCUGACGUUACCUUUAGAAGAAGCACCGGCUAACUCCGUG
This 481-nucleotide ribosomal RNA is filed under the name uncultured bacterium. Its description in RNAcentral is "bacterial SSU rRNA". It matches the Rfam family "Bacterial small subunit ribosomal RNA", at positions 30 to 507 of the family's 1533-position model. The record is from RNAcentral.